Molecule: long non-coding RNA, 1406 nt
Filed under: Mus pahari (shrew mouse)
Lineage: Eukaryota; Metazoa; Chordata; Mammalia; Rodentia; Muridae
Description: predicted gene, 44190 (MGP_PahariEiJ_G0032944.1)
Source: RNAcentral
UUUUCCCCCAAUGUUGAAGGCCUCAUCCGACUAGACAGGAAAGAAUAUCCUGUAAUGAUUCCUUUUUGCCAGGGUCCUUUGCUCUCAGCAGAACAGUUCGUUUCUGUUUCUUAGGCCUUCCUGUGGAAACCCUACCAUUUCCUGGCAUCGGUGCCCACUGAAAGAACAAGUUCACGUUUGUUCUUCCCCGAGCAGAGAGAAUGUGUGAGCUGAAGUCUUCAGAGGAGGAGUUGAAGCUGUCCCCCAGCCAGGUGUUAGGUGGUUGGAAGGCCCAGAUGGUUUCUUUCGUUCCCCUGUUCGAGAGCAGCUCAUCCCAUACAGGCGCCGUCCUGUUCAGCUCCAGUUCACCAGGAGUCAUUUCCUGUCCUACUUAGUGUCCACUGCCUGCUUGGGCAUUCUUCCUGUGGUUUUGUUUGUUUGAUUCAGCUCUUUAAAAAAAAAAAAAAGUUUUUAGUUAUGUGUAUGUACAUCUAGUACAAGUGCCUAAGGAGGUCAGAGGAGUCCCAUCAUCCCCUGGGAGCUGGGUUAAAGCCUGAUGUGGGUGCUGGGAACUGAACUUGGAUCCUCUUAAGUCUCUCCAGCCCCAGAACUGUGUGUAUGAGAGAGAGAGAGAGAGAGAGAGAGAGAGAGAGAGAGAGAGAGAGAGAGAGUGUCAGAGUCUCAUUGUAUAGAUGAGGCUGAGUGAGGGGGCAGUGGAGGCUGGGGGACAACCUGUGGGACUCUCUUCUCUCCUUCCACCAUUGGCUCCCAAGGGGUUAAGCUCACCUCAUUAGGAUUGACAGCCAGCACUUGUCACCACUGCUCUAUUGCACUGGCCUGGCCCUGAUCUUGAACUUCUGAUCCGUCUGUCUGUCCCAGCCUCCCAGUCCCAAGACUGCACGUGUUAGCCACUAAAUGGUGCAUGAUACAUCUCUAGCAUAGGAAUUACAGUGACAGGUUUAAGAUUCUUUUCAUUGACAGAGUAUAGAAGAAUUUCACACAAGCUCCUGAAGAUUUAAAUCAUUGUCAUUUAUUAACUAGCCUUGCAGGGGGAAACUUCAAUAGAUUUCAAUGCAAUUAGAACAAUAGGCUGGCCUUGAAACCCAAGAUCCUCCCACCUCAGCCUCUGGAGAACCGGCACCACACAGGCUUUCACUUACCGUGAGAAGCCUCCAACUGUGUUCUAAAAACGGAGAGAUCUGUCAGGAUAUGUGGUCCACUUGAGCGUGCUUCAUCACUUUGGAGAAAGCUGGGCGGAUGUCAUUACCUUCACUUCAUGGAUGGGAACUUAGAAAGCUGGACCUGGCGGUGUUUGUCUCUGUCAGUAUCUGUCUAUCAUGCACGGUGCAGAGGCAAGAGAACUGCAGCCCAGGAGUUUAAGCCCAGCCUGGAUAAUAUAGGGAGACUGUCUCGAAACUAAAAACUAA